RNAcentral lists this ribosomal RNA (2954 nucleotides) under Providencia rettgeri. RNAcentral describes it as "23S ribosomal RNA". It matches the Rfam family "Bacterial large subunit ribosomal RNA". The record is from RNAcentral. Lineage: Bacteria; Pseudomonadati; Pseudomonadota; Gammaproteobacteria; Enterobacterales; Morganellaceae.
GGUUAAGCGACUAAGCGUACACGGUGGAUGCCUAGGCAAUCAGAGGCGAUGAAGGACGUGCUAAUCUGCGAUAAGCGUCGGUAAGGUGAUAUGAACCGUUACAACCGACGAUUUCCGAAUGGGAAACCCAGUGCAAUUCGUUGCACUAUCGUUUGAUGAAUACAUAGUCAAACGAAGCGAACCGGGGAACUGAAACAUCUCAGUACCCCGAGGAAAGAAAUCAACCGAGAUUCCCUAGUAGCGGCGAGCGAACGGGGAGCAGCCCAGAGUCUUAAUCAGCAUUAGCAUCAGGAGAACGGUCUGGAAAGUCCGGCAGUAAAGGGUGAUAGCCCGUAUCCGAAGGUGUUAGUGUUGUGAACUCGACGAGUAGGGCGGGACACGUGUUAUCCUGUCUGAAUAUGGGGACCAUCCUCCAAGGCUAAAUACUCCUGAUUGACCGAUAGUGAACCAGUACCGUGAGGGAAAGGCGAAAAGAACCCCGGCGAGGGAGUGAAAUAGAACCUGAAACCGUGUACGUACAAGCAGUGGGAGCCCCAUCACCAAGUGCUCGGCAAUUGGUGAGUUGCCAACAAGAUUGGUCGAUUUUUGCAGUGUACAUUAUGACAUUUGAGGAUGGGGUGACUGCGUACCUUUGUAUAAUGGGUCAGCGACUUAUAUUCUGUAGCAAGGUUAACCGUAUAGGGAGCCGUAGGGAAACCGAGUCUUAACUGGGCGAAUAAGUUGCAGGGUAUAGACCCGAAACCCGGUGAUCAGCCAUGGGCAGGUUGAAGGUUGGGUAACACUAACUGGAGGACCGAACCGACUAAUGUUGAAAAAUUAGCGGAUGACUUGUGGCUGGGGUGAAAGGCCAAUCAAACCGGGAGAUAGCUGGUUCUCCCGAAAGCUAUUUAGGUAGCGCCUCGUGAACUCAUCUUCGGGGGUAGAGCACUGUUUCGACUAGGGGGUCAUCCCGACUUACCAACUCGAUGCAAACUACGAAUACCGAAGAAUGUUAUCACGGGAGACACACGGCGGGUGCUAACGUUCGUCGUGAAGAGGGAAACAACCCAGACCGCCAGCUAAGGUCCCAAAGUCAUAGUUAAGUGGGAAACGAAGUGGGAAGGCUCAGACAGCCAGGAUGUUGGCUUAGAAGCAGCCAUCAUUUAAAGAAAGCGUAAUAGCUCACUGGUCGAGUCGGCCUGCGCGGAAGAUGUAACGGGGCUAAACUAUGCACCGAAGCUGCGGCAGCGAUAUGUAAAUAUUGUUGGGUAGGGGAGCGUUCUGUAAGCCUGUGAAGGUGUGCUGUGAGGCAUGCUGGAGGUAUCAGAAGUGCGAAUGCUGACAUAAGUAACGAUAAUGCGGGUGAAAACCCGCACGCCGGAAGACCAAGGGUUCCUGUCCAACGUUAAUCGGGGCAGGGUGAGUCGACCCCUAAGGCGAGGCAGAAAUGCGUAGUCGAUGGGAAACGGGUUAAUAUUCCCGUACUGGUGAUAAUUGCGAUGGGGGACGGAGAAGGCUAGGCUAUCCGGGCGACGGUUGUCCCGGUUUAAGGAUGUAGGCAGGUGAAUUAGGCAAAUCCGGUUCACUAUAUGCUGAGGUCCGACGACGAGUCACUACGGUGAUGAAGUAGCUCAUGCCCCGCUUCCAGGAAAAGCCUCUAAGCUCUAGAUUAUCAUUAAUCGUACCCCAAACCGACACAGGUGGUCAGGUAGAGAAUACUCAGGCGCUUGAGAGAACUCGGGUGAAGGAACUAGGCAAAAUGGUGCCGUAACUUCGGGAGAAGGCACGCUGGCAUUAGGUGAAGUGAUUUACCAUGGAGCUGAAGCCAGUCGCAGAUACCAGCUGGCUGCAACUGUUUAUUAAAAACACAGCACUGUGCAAACACGAAAGUGGACGUAUACGGUGUGACGCCUGCCCGGUGCUGGAAGGUUAAUUGAUGGGGUUAUCCGUAAGGAGAAGCUCUUGAUCGAAGCCCCAGUAAACGGCGGCCGUAACUAUAACGGUCCUAAGGUAGCGAAAUUCCUUGUCGGGUAAGUUCCGACCUGCACGAAUGGCGUAAUGAUGGCCAGGCUGUCUCCACCCGAGACUCAGUGAAAUUGAACUCGCUGUGAAGAUGCAGUGUACCCGCGGAAAGACCCCGUGAACCUUUACUAUAGCUUGACACUGAACAUUGAGCCUUGAUGUGUAGGAUAGGUGGGAGGCUUUGAAGCGUGGACGCCAGUCUGCGUGGAGCCAACCUUGAAAUACCACCCUUUAAUGUUUGAUGUUCUAACGUUGCCCCAUUAUCUGGGGUGCGGACAGUGUCUGGUGGGUAGUUUGACUGGGGCGGUCUCCUCCCAAAGAGUAACGGAGGAGCACGAAGGUUGGCUAAGCAUGGUCGGACAUCAUGCGGUUAGUGCAAAGGCAUAAGCCAGCUUGACUGCGAGAGUGACGGCUCGAGCAGGUACGAAAGUAGGUCUUAGUGAUCCGGUGGUUCUGAAUGGAAGGGCCAUCGCUCAACGGAUAAAAGGUACCGGGGAUAACAGGCUGAUACCGCCCAAGAGUUCAUAUCGACGGCGGUGUUUGGCACCUCGAUGUCGGCUCAUCACAUCCUGGGGCUGAAGUAGGUCCCAAGGGUACGGCUGUUCGCCGUUUAAAGUGGUACGCGAGCUGGGUUUAGAACGUCGUGAGACAGUUCGGUCCCUAUCUGCCGUGGGCGUUGGAAGAUUGAAAGGGGCUGCUCCUAGUACGAGAGGACCGGAGUGGACGCACCACUGGUGUUCGGGUUGUCAUGCCAAUGGCAUUGCCCGGUAGCUAAGUGCGGAAGAGAUAACCGCUGAAAGCAUCUAAGCGGGAAACUUGCCUUGAGAUGAGUCUUCCCUGACUCUUUAAGGGUCCUAAAGGAACGUUUAAGACUAAGACGUUGAUAGGUUGGGUGUGUAAGCGUAGCGAUACGUUGAGCUAACCAAUACUAAUGAACCGUGAGGCUUAACCUG